UCGUAAGGGGGUCCGAGCGUCAUCUUGAAUCACUGGCGUAAAUGGAUGCGUUAGCGCGUAUAAGUCAGGGUGAAUGCCUACGGCAUAACAGUAGUAAGCCUUGAAACUCAUGGCUUGAGUGCAGAGAGAGAGUGGAAUUCCUAGUGUAGCGGUGAAAUGCGUAGAUAUUAGGAGGAACACCAGUGGCGAAGGCGACUCUCUGGACUGUAACUGACGCUGAGGCACGAAAGCGUGGGGAGCGAACAGGAUUAGAUACCCUGGUAGUCCACGCCGUAAACGAUGAGUGCUAGGUGUCGGAGCCGACAGGCUUCGGUGCCGCAGCUAACGCAUUAAGCACUCCGCCUGGGGAGUACGGUCGCAAGACUGAAACUCAAAGGAAUUGACGGGGACCCGCACAAGCAGCGGAGCAUGUGGUUUAAUUCGAAGCAACGCGAAGAACCUUACCAGGACUUGACAUCCCUGUGACCGGACUUUAAUAGGUCCUUUCCCUUCGGGGACAGAGGAGACAGGUGGUGCAUGGUUGUCGUCAGCUCGUGUCGUGAGAUGUUGGGUUAAGUCCCGCAACGAGCGCAACCCUUGUCUUUAGUUGCCAGCAGGUAAAGCUGGGCACUCUAGAGAGACUGCCGGGGAUAACUCGGAGGAAGGUGGGGAUGACGUCAAAUCAUCAUGCCCCUUAUGUUCUGGGCUACACACGUGCUACAAUGGCUGGUACAACGGGCAGCGAAGGAGUAAUUUGGAGCGAAUCCUAAAAGCCAGUCUCAGUUCGGAUUGUGGGCUGCAACCCGCCCACAUGAAGUUGGAGUUGCUAGUAAUCGUGGAUCAGAAUGCCGCGGUGAAUGCGUUCCCGGGUCUUGUACACACCGCCCGUCACACCAUGGAAGUUGGAGGCGCCCGAAGUCAGCUAUCUAACCGCAAGGAGGAAGCUGCCGGAAGGUGAAAUCAAUGAUCUGGGGU
RNAcentral lists this ribosomal RNA (954 nucleotides) under Salimesophilobacter sp. GMCo18. RNAcentral describes it as "bacterial SSU rRNA". It matches the Rfam family "Bacterial small subunit ribosomal RNA", at positions 521 to 1481 of the family's 1533-position model. Lineage: Bacteria; Bacillati; Bacillota; Clostridia; Eubacteriales; Clostridiaceae. The record is from RNAcentral.